GACAGAGGGUGCAAACGUUGUUCGGAAUUACUGGGCGUAAAGCGUGUGUAGGCGGUCUCAUAAGUCGGGUGUGAAAGCCCCGGGCUCAACCCGGGAAGUGCACUCGAAACUGCGAGGCUAGAGUACUGGAGAGGUUGGUGGAAUUCUCGGUGUAGAGGUGAAAUGCGUAGAUAUCUGGAGGAACACCGGUGGCGAAGGCGGCAUCCUGGACCACGACUGACACUGAAAAGCGAAAGCCAGGGGAGCAAACGGG
This 253-nucleotide ribosomal RNA is filed under the name uncultured bacterium. Its description in RNAcentral is "partial 16S ribosomal RNA". It matches the Rfam family "Bacterial small subunit ribosomal RNA", at positions 524 to 776 of the family's 1533-position model. The record is from RNAcentral.